GACAAUGGGCGCAAGCGCUGAUCUAGCCAUGCCGCGUGAGUGAUGAAGGCCCUAGGGUCGUAAAGCUCUUUCAACUGUGAAGAUAAUGACGAUAACAGUAGAAGAAGCCACGGCUAACUACGUGCCAGCAGCCGCGGUAAUACGUAGGUGGCAAGCGUUGUCCGGAAUUAUUGGGCGUAAAGCGCGCGCAGGCGGUCCUUUAAGUCUGAUGUGAAAGCCCACGGCUCAACCGUGGAGGGUCAUUGGAAACUGGGGGACUUGAGUACAGAAGAGGAAAGUGGAAUUCCACGUGUAGCGGUGAAAUGCGUAGAGAUGUGGAGGAACACCAGUGGCGAAGGCGACUUUCUGGUCUGUAAUUGACGCUGAGGCGCGAAAGCGUGGGGAGCAAACAGG
Molecule: ribosomal RNA, 393 nt
Filed under: uncultured Bacillota bacterium
Lineage: Bacteria; Bacillati; Bacillota
Description: bacterial SSU rRNA
Rfam family: Bacterial small subunit ribosomal RNA
Source: RNAcentral